GCCUGGGUGGCUCAGUCGGUUGAGCGUCCGACUUCGGCUCAGGUCAUGAUCUCGCAGUUCGUGAGUUCGAGCCCCACAUCGGGCU
Molecule: transfer RNA, 85 nt
Filed under: Felis catus (domestic cat)
Lineage: Eukaryota; Metazoa; Chordata; Mammalia; Carnivora; Felidae
Rfam family: tRNA
About the family: Transfer RNA (tRNA) molecules are approximately 80 nucleotides in length. Their secondary structure includes four short double-helical elements and three loops (D, anti-codon, and T loops).
Source: Rfam by way of RNAcentral